CCAGACUCCUACGGGAGGCAGCAGUGAGGAAUAUUGGUCAAUGGGCGCGAGCCUGAACCAGCCAAGUCGCGUGAGGGAUGACGGCCCUACGGGUUGUAAACCUCUUUUGUCGGGGAGCAAAUUCCGCCACGUGUGGCGGAGUCGAGAGUACCCGAAGAAAAAGCAUCGGCUAACUCCGUGCCAGCAGCCGCGGUAAUACGGAGGAUGCGAGCGUUAUCCGGAUUUAUUGGGUUUAAAGGGUGCGUAGGCGGGAUGCCAAGUCAGCGGUCAAAUACGGGGGCUCACCCUGCGUCCGCCGUUGAAACUGGCGUUCUUGAGUGGGCGAGAAGUACGCGGAAUGCGUGGUGUAGCGGUGAAAUGCAUAGAUAUCACGCAGAACCCCGAUUGCGAAGGCAGCGUACCGGCGCCCGACUGACGCUGAAGCACGAAAGCGUGGGUAUCGAACAGGAUUAGAUACCCCUGUAGG
RNAcentral lists this ribosomal RNA (466 nucleotides) under uncultured bacterium. RNAcentral's name for it is "bacterial SSU rRNA". It matches the Rfam family "Bacterial small subunit ribosomal RNA", at positions 331 to 794 of the family's 1533-position model. The record is from RNAcentral.